AGAGUUUGAUCCUGGCUCAGAUUGAACGCUGGCGGAAUGCUUUACACAUGCAAGUCGAACGGCAGCAUAGGUGCUUGCACCUGAUGGCGAGUGGCGAACGGGUGAGUAAUACAUCGGAACGUGCCCAGUCGUGGGGGAUAACGUAGCGAAAGUUACGCUAAUACCGCAUACGAUCUACGGAUGAAAGCGGGGGACCGUAAGGCCUCGCGCGAUUGGAGCGGCCGAUGUUAGAUUAGGUAGUUGGUGGGGUAAAGGCUCACCAAGCCGACGAUCUAUAGCUGGUCUGAGAGGAUGAUCAGCCACACUGGGACUGAGACACGGCCCAGACUCCUACGGGAGGCAGCAGUGGGGAAUUUUGGACAAUGGGCGCAAGCCUGAUCCAGCCAUUCCGCGUGCAGGACGAAGGCCUUCGGGUUGUAAACUGCUUUUGUACAGAACGAAAAGCCUUGGGUUAAUACCCUGAGGUCAUGACGGUACUGUAAGAAUAAGCACCGGCUAACUACGUGCCAGCAGCCGCGGUAAU
Molecule: ribosomal RNA, 523 nt
Filed under: uncultured bacterium
Lineage: Bacteria
Description: bacterial SSU rRNA
Rfam family: Bacterial small subunit ribosomal RNA
Source: RNAcentral